GCUGGGCAUGGUGGUGGGUGCCUGUAAUCCCAGCUACUCGGGAGGCUGAGGCAGGAGAAUCGCUUGAACCCGGGAGGCGGAGGCUGCAGUGAACUGAGAUCUCGUCAUUGCACUCCAGCCUGGGUGACAGAGUGAGACUCUGUCUCAA
This is an unclassified non-coding RNA of Macaca fascicularis (crab-eating macaque), 148 nucleotides long. It matches the Rfam family "Metazoan signal recognition particle RNA". Rfam says of the family: The signal recognition particle (SRP) is a universally conserved ribonucleoprotein. It is involved in the co-translational targeting of proteins to membranes. The record is from Ensembl. NCBI's taxonomy places the organism in Eukaryota, Metazoa, Chordata, Mammalia, Primates, Cercopithecidae.